RNAcentral lists this transfer RNA (74 nucleotides) under bacterium. RNAcentral describes it as "tRNA-Gly". It matches the Rfam family "tRNA". From Rfam's summary of the family: Transfer RNA (tRNA) molecules are approximately 80 nucleotides in length. Their secondary structure includes four short double-helical elements and three loops (D, anti-codon, and T loops). Further hydrogen bonds mediate the characteristic L-shaped molecular structure. tRNAs have two regions of fundamental functional importance: the anti-codon, which is responsible for specific mRNA codon recognition, and the 3' end, to which the tRNAs corresponding amino acid is attached (by aminoacyl-tRNA synthetases). tRNAs cope with the degeneracy of the genetic code in two manners: having more than one tRNA (with a specific anti-codon) for a particular amino acid; and 'wobble' base-pairing, i.e. permitting non-standard base-pairing at the 3rd anti-codon position. RNAcentral also lists the same sequence under 5 other names. The record is from RNAcentral.
GCGGGAUUGGCACAUUGGUUGUGCUCUAGCCUUCCAAGCUAGCUAAAAGAGUUCGAUUCUCUUAUUCCGCUCCA